UACGUAGGGGGCAAGCGUUGUCCGGAUUUAUUGGGCGUAAAGAGCGUGUAGGCGGCUUGACAGGUCUGCUGUGAAAACUCGAGGCUCAACCUCGAGAUGUCGGCGGAAACCGUCUGGCUAGAGUCCGGAAGAGGAGAGUGGAAUUCCUGGUGUAGCGGUGAAAUGCGCAGAUAUCAGGAGGAACACCGGUGGCGAAGGCGGGUCUCUGGGCAGUAACUGACGCUGAGGAGCGAAAGCGUGGGGAGCGAACAGG
Molecule: ribosomal RNA, 253 nt
Filed under: uncultured bacterium
Lineage: Bacteria
Description: partial 16S ribosomal RNA
Rfam family: Bacterial small subunit ribosomal RNA
Source: RNAcentral